This 72-nucleotide transfer RNA is filed under the name Ovis aries (sheep). It matches the Rfam family "tRNA". Rfam says of the family: Transfer RNA (tRNA) molecules are approximately 80 nucleotides in length. Their secondary structure includes four short double-helical elements and three loops (D, anti-codon, and T loops). The record is from Rfam by way of RNAcentral. Lineage: Eukaryota; Metazoa; Chordata; Mammalia; Artiodactyla; Bovidae.
UCCCUGGUGGCUUAGCUGGUAAAGAAUCCGCCUGCAAUGCGGGAGACCUGGGUUCAAUCCUUGGGCUGGGAA